UGCAAGUCGAACGAACCUUUCGGGGUUAGUGGCGGACGGGUGAGUAACACGUGGGAACGUGCCUUUAGGUUCGGAAUAACUCAGGGAAACUUGUGCUAAUACCGAAUGUGCCCUUCGGGGGAAAGAUUUAUCGCCUUUAGAGCGGCCCGCGUCUGAUUAGCUAGUUGGUUGAGGUAAUGGCUCACCAAGGCGACGAUCAGUAGCUGGUCUGAGAGGAUGAUCAGCCACAUUGGGACUGAGACACGGCCCAAACUCCUACGGGAGGCAGCAGUGGGGAAUCUUGCGCAAUGGGCGAAAGCCUGACGCAGCCAUGCCGCGUGAAUGAUGAAGGUCUUAGGAUUGUAAAAUUCUUUCACCGGGGACGAUAAUGACGGUACCCGGAGAAGAAGCCCCGGCUAACUUCGUGCCAGCAGCCGCGGUAAUACGAAGGGGGCUAGCGUUGCUC
Molecule: ribosomal RNA, 445 nt
Filed under: Brevundimonas sp. C412-C
Lineage: Bacteria; Pseudomonadati; Pseudomonadota; Alphaproteobacteria; Caulobacterales; Caulobacteraceae
Description: bacterial SSU rRNA
Rfam family: Bacterial small subunit ribosomal RNA
Source: RNAcentral